This 253-nucleotide ribosomal RNA is filed under the name uncultured bacterium. RNAcentral describes it as "partial 16S ribosomal RNA". It matches the Rfam family "Bacterial small subunit ribosomal RNA", at positions 524 to 776 of the family's 1533-position model. The record is from RNAcentral.
UACGUAGGGGGCAAGCGUUGUCCGGAAUCAUUGGGCGUAAAGAGCGUGUAGGCGGCCCGGUAAGUCCGCUGUGAAAGUCCAGGGCUCAACCCUGGGAUGCCGGUGGAUACUGUCGGGCUCGAGUCCGGAAGAGGAGUGUGGAAUUCCUGGUGUAGCGGUGAAAUGCGCAGAUAUCAGGAGGAACACCAAUGGCGAAGGCAGCACUCUGGGACGUGACUGACGCUGAGACGCGAAAGCGUGGGGAGCGAAUGGG